UCCGGCCAUAUCACGUUGAAACACCGGCUCUCGUACGAGCACCGAAGAUAAACAACGUCGGACUUGGUCAGUACUUAAAUGGGUGACCGCUUAGG
Non-coding RNA from Acanthosepion pharaonis, 95 nucleotides. NCBI's taxonomy places the organism in Eukaryota, Metazoa, Mollusca, Cephalopoda, Sepiida, Sepiidae. The record is from the annotation of a GenBank genome assembly.